CCAAGUCACCUUUGGAAAAUCCUUUUCAAAAUUGUUUUGACUCUUUUAAAACUGGUUUGCGAACAGAGAUUCCAGCUAAGGAAUUUUGUUGACCGAGGGAAAGGUGUUAGGCACCCCUCGAUCCCGUGGUUCGACCACGGUCGCUUGGUGGAGCGUAUCGGCUAAUUCGACACUAUGAAUGUACAAACCACACAAAAACACGAAAAACAAGCAAACAAACAGACAAAACAAAAUGAAUCUAAAUAUAGUGUCCAGUCCAAUUUAUACAGUCCAAAAUAGAAAAAUGCUAAGAUAAAUCCUAUCUAACCUAUACUAAUACUAACUACGCUCCUGCGCUUUACCUGACGCCUCUGGCCUUCCUCUCAAAUUCCUUCCACCAACAUAGUACGUCGGGGCAUUCCCCAGUAAACAAAUACAAUUCCUUUGGGGCAUUCCCCGACAAAUGAAUACAAUGUCAAUUUCAUGCGAUAAACUAGGAAACAUCCAACAAAUAUUCCCAACAUUCCAACAAUCCACCAAUUCUAAAUUUUUCCUACCCGAGCCUAUUUUUUGCCUACCUGCUCGAUGACAUAUAACGUUCAACAUCAACAAUGAAUCAAAAUACCAUAAUAUUCACUUUUAUCAAUUUUUGAUUUUCAACCCAAAUCCAUUCUAAACGCCACAAAUAGCAAUCACUAUUUCACAAUCCAUGCUCAUUUUAGUAACGAAUUUAAAUAACAAAACCAUAUCAAUGAAAUCAAGUCAUCAUAAUCAACCAACAUGUAACCAUAGCUAAUGCAACCAAUCAAAAUGAAUAAGAAAAUGGGUUAAAGAAAUGGACCUCAAUAGAAUGUUCUCGUAGAUAAUAAAGAAGUCCGAGACCGAAAUCCUCCAAAAUGGAACCCCAAAGAUGAACACACCAAAUCAAUAAUCCAAGAGUACCAACUGGUCCGAUUUCAACCAAGAAUAAAAACCCAAAACAGGAACAAAAUCGAUGAAUCCCCAAAGCUCGAUCCCGGCGACAGAAUACAAAAUCAGACAAACCCAAAAAACCCCAAUGCGCAGUAUCGAAAAUGAACCGCAAAGAAGACGAACUCGAAGCCUCAGAAAUGCCGUAGAAAGACUAAAAAAACGUAGCUUAAGCUCCGAUGAGCUAACACGAAGGUAAAGAACGACAAUCCGAGACGAUUUCCAAUGAACCUUAUUGUUUUCCGACCGGAUCCAACUCAGAAAUCAAAGAGGAAUAGAGGGAUUUUAGGAUGUAUUCGUAUCAUAGUGGAUUUUUAGCCCGUAGAAACAGAAAAUGACCAAAUCAGUCCCUUUGGUGACGAGUUCACCUAAAAGUGCUAACCCGCAGUGCCUCUCGAUCUAGUUUUUCUCUUCCUUCGCUACUCUCCACCUCUCUCUCUAUUCGAUGUGUGUGUGUGCGAGAUUUUUUAGUGUAUUAUAUGGGUGUACAGUGGUGAAUCAAAGAGAAUCAAGUGAUUGAGUAUCUCCUUUUUCGUUUUAUCCCUGAUGUGUGUGUAUUGAUGUAUGAAGAAAAGGGUAUGUCUGUUCAAUCAUGUUGCUGGGCAGAAAAUUUUUUGUGUAUGGGUGGGUAUUCUGGGAAGGUCUUGUAUGCAUAUGGGCUCCGUGAGUGUAUGUGAGGUGUCUUA
RNAcentral lists this long non-coding RNA (1634 nucleotides) under Capsicum annuum. RNAcentral describes it as "long non-coding RNA (CANN_LNC015118)". Lineage: Eukaryota; Viridiplantae; Streptophyta; Magnoliopsida; Solanales; Solanaceae. The record is from RNAcentral.